AAUGGGGGAAACCCUGACGCAGCGACGCCGUGUGAGGGAAGAAGGCUUUCGGGUCGUAAACCUCUGUCAGGAAGGAAGAACCUCUCAAGGCUGAACAAGUCUUGGGACUGACGGUACUUCCAGAGGAAGCACCGGCUAACUCCGUGCCAGCAGCCGCGGUAAUACGGAGGGUGCAAGCGUUAAUCGGAAUCACUGGGCGUAAAGCGCGCGUAGGCCGUCUUUUAAGUCGGACGUGAAAGCCCUCGGCUCAACCGGGGAACUGCGUUCGAUACUGGGAGACUUGAGUCCUGGAGAGGGUGGCGGAAUUCCGGGUGUAGGAGUGAAAUCCGUAGAUAUCCGGAGGAACACCGGUGGCGAAGGCGGCCACCUGGACAGGUACUGACGCUGAGGCGCGAAAGCGUGGGGAGCAAA
This 411-nucleotide ribosomal RNA is filed under the name uncultured bacterium. RNAcentral's name for it is "bacterial SSU rRNA". It matches the Rfam family "Bacterial small subunit ribosomal RNA", at positions 370 to 772 of the family's 1533-position model. The record is from RNAcentral.